Long non-coding RNA from Octopus bimaculoides (California two-spot octopus), 939 nucleotides. Lineage: Eukaryota; Metazoa; Mollusca; Cephalopoda; Octopoda; Octopodidae. The record is from RefSeq and is a predicted model, not a curated record.
UAUAUUUUCAAAUUCAUAUUUAAUUUUUACUUAACGUAAUGUGAUAAUAAUUAGAGACAAGAGAUUGAAAAUGUUCAAAAUUUGGGAAAAGGUAAAGUAAGAGUAGGAGAAUAAAAAGAGGACAGAAAAGUCGUAGAAGGGCAGGGGGUUGGAGUAGAAGGAGAACAAAGAGAAGAAGGCUGAGGGAAGGACACAGACAGAAGAAGACAGCAGAAACAAGUUAGGGCAUAAGACUUUUUGUAAGCUGGUACUACUAUUUGGGAAUAAUUUCUGGUUCAUAAAAUUUUUAAUUUUAACUUUUUUUGUAAAUAAUAGGUUAAAUAUUUAAAGACAAAAAUGGGUGUUAUAUGUCGUAAUUAACUAUCUAGUCGCAGCUUGAUGUAUUUUUAAGAACAUUUCGAAAUAAAUAUUAUACUAAUAAAAAAGUCUAAAAAUCGAAAGGGGAAUUACUACCGUGAUAAUUUUCCUCGGCUUUCUCUUUCUUCUCCUAUUCUAAACCCACCUGUCCAUCUAUGACUUUUCCCUCCUCUUUUGAUUGUCCCCCCUCUUACUUCACCAGCUUGUUUCAAAUUUUAAACGUUUUGCUCUCUGUCGCCUCUAAUUUUUUUCACAUCACGUUUUUCUUUAAUUCUGUUUGAUCUUCUGUUUUGCAUAAAGAAUCAGGUCGUUAUAAAUUCUACUUAAAUCCAUUAAUUUUGACAGGAGUUUGGAACGUAACGAACUCAAGGAAAUCAAAGCAGAAACAUUCCAAAAUCUUUCCAGUGUAACAACAUUAUAUUUGAAUAAAAAUAAACUCAACAAAAUUCACGUUGGAACAUUCGAUGAUCUGUCCAUGUUAACAUAUCUGAAUUUGGGUGAUAAUAACCUCCAGGAAAUCGAGGUAGAAACAUUCCGAAAUCUUUCCAGUUUAACAAAACUGUAAGUUGAAGAAUUCUUUUU